This 979-nucleotide ribosomal RNA is filed under the name Alternaria alternata. RNAcentral's name for it is "partial large subunit ribosomal RNA". It matches the Rfam family "Eukaryotic large subunit ribosomal RNA", at positions 97 to 1097 of the family's 3401-position model. The record is from RNAcentral. Lineage: Eukaryota; Fungi; Ascomycota; Dothideomycetes; Pleosporales; Pleosporaceae.
AGCGGCAACAGCUCAAAUUUGAAAUCUGGCUCUUUUAGAGUCCGAGUUGUAAUUUGCAGAGGGCGCUUUGGCUUUGGCAGCGGUCCAAGUUCCUUGGAACAGGACGUCACAGAGGGUGAGAAUCCCGUACGUGGUCGCUGGCUAUUGCCGUGUAAGCCCUUUCGACGAGUCGAGUUGUUUGGGAAUGCAGCUCUAAAUGGGAGGUACAUUUCUUCUAAAGCUAAAUAUUGGCCAGAGACCGAUAGCGCACAAGUAGAGUGAUCGAAAGAUGAAAAGCACUUUGGAAAGAGAGUCAAACAGCACGUGAAAUUGUUGAAAGGGAAGCGCUUGCAGCCAGACUUGCUUACAGUUGCUCAUCCGGGUUUCUACCCGGUGCACUCUUCUGUAGGCAGGCCAGCAUCAGUUUGGGCGGUAGGAUAAAGGUCUCUGUCACGUACCUCCUUUCGGGGAGGCCUUAUAGGGGAGACGACAUACUACCAGCCUGGACUGAGGUCCGCGCAUCUGCUAGGAUGCUGGCGUAAUGGCUGUAAGCGGCCCGUCUUGAAACACGGACCAAGGAGUCUAACAUCUAUGCGAGUGUUUGGGUGUCAAGCCCGAGCGCGUAAUGAAAGUGAACGGAGGUGGGAACCCGCAAGGGUGCACCAUCGACCGAUCCUGAUGUCUUCGGAAGGAUUUGAGUAAGAGCAUGGCUGUUGGGACCCGAAAGAUGGUGAACUAUGCUUGAAUAGGGUGAAGCCAGAGGAAACUCUGGUGGAGGCUCGCAGCGGUUCUGACGUGCAAAUCGAUCGUCAAAUUUGGGCAUAGGGGCGAAAGACUAAUCGAACUAUCUAGUAGCUGGUUCCUGCCGAAGUUUCCCUCAGGAUAGCAGUAACGUAUUCAGUUUUAUGAGGUAAAGCGAAUGAUUAGAGGCCUGGGGGUUGAAACAACCUUCACCUAUUCUCAAACUUUAAAUAUGUAAGAAGUCCUUGUUACUUAAUGA